Molecule: ribosomal RNA, 253 nt
Filed under: uncultured bacterium
Lineage: Bacteria
Description: partial 16S ribosomal RNA
Rfam family: Bacterial small subunit ribosomal RNA
Source: RNAcentral
UACGGGGGGGGCAAGCGUUGUUCGGAAUUACUGGGCGUAAAGGGCGCGUAGGCGGCCUGCUAAGUCGGAUGUGAAAUCUCUCGGCUCAACCGAGGAACUGCAUCCGAUACUGGCGGGCUUGAAUCCGGGAGAGGGAUGUGGAAUUCCAGGUGUAGCGGUGAAAUGCGUAGAUAUCUGGAGGAACACCGGUGGCGAAGGCGGCGACCUGGACAGGUACUGACACUCAACUACGAAAGCGUGGGGAGCAAACAGG